This 69-nucleotide transfer RNA is filed under the name Rattus norvegicus (Norway rat). It matches the Rfam family "tRNA". Rfam says of the family: Transfer RNA (tRNA) molecules are approximately 80 nucleotides in length. Their secondary structure includes four short double-helical elements and three loops (D, anti-codon, and T loops). RNAcentral also lists the same sequence under 2 other names. The record is from Rfam by way of RNAcentral. Lineage: Eukaryota; Metazoa; Chordata; Mammalia; Rodentia; Muridae.
GGGGAUUUAGCUCAGUGGUAGAGUGCUUGCCUAGCAAGCACAAGGCCCUGGGUUCGAUCCUCAGCUCCG